CCGCUGGAGAGGGAAGAGCCGCGGCCGCGAGGAUUCCCAGCAGUGACCGCGUGUCGAGAGCCUGCAAGUGGGCCCGAAGCCGUCCCUUUCCCGAUAGCCAAGCAGAAGCAGGACUCGAAGCACCGGGGCUGGGAUGCCCAUGCUGGUGACGCCUUGGGGCUCGCAGUUAUACUUGGCGACCGGUCUACACGGCGAUUCGGUGCUUUCCGGAAUAGCAGAUUCACCUCUCUUUAGACCCACCUUCGUCCUUUGGGGUGUAGCCGGGCCUGCGCUUUCCUGCGAGCCCUGCUGUCACCUGAACAGCCUGAUGACUUCACGCUCAGCCACUGGAGGGCACAGCCACAUCAUUUUUAAAAAAUUCAUUUCCUCACUUAAAGCUGACAUGGUUUGGGGGGAAAUAACAUUUUAAAAAUGUAAAAAGAUAUAUAUAUACGUAUCUCUGAUUAUUCUGAUAUAAACUCAGGUGGGAUUCUUCAAAACAGGAGGCUGCUGCAGUCCCUUCAUUUUACAACUGAGAAAACGAAGGCCUUUUAGCUUGAGAACUCCAGUUGCCCAAGGCGCACAGGUGGUGGGUAAGGACGCUGAUCAUUUAUCCAAAGAAUCCUUCCGUGACCCAGGAGGAUCCGGUGGGAGAGCGGAGCCGUCCACAGCUCAGCCAGGACACAAGAAGGCCCAGGGUGGCAGGAGCCCCACUGUGUGCUGUGGAGGAUGGCAGAGGAAAAGUCAGCAUUGUCCCUAAACUGCAGGAUCAUGUGAUGUGAUGGGAAAAAAUUCUGAGCACAAGACACAGGAAGCGCAGGUCACGGAAACACAUGGUGCCCAGAAGGGCUUAACUAGUUGCAGCUGUGCAGGGCGAUGCGCAGAGUGCCCCAAGGGUGUCCUGAGUGAGGGUGGACGUCCCCUGCCCUUUGGCUUCGUGAAGGCUUCGUGAAGCCUGCCAGGUCACCCUUGUUUUCAUGGAUAGCUUCUUUAGGACACUCCCUCCACCAGUAAUUGACAAAGUCUGCUUCCGUUGAGUGUCUGAUAAAGGAUUCAGUUUACAUGAUUGUUAUGACAGGAUCAGGAAAGAAGACAGAGAUGGAUGUGAGUGGCCCUCAGAAAAAAAGUAUCAAGGGAAACUGAGGAGUCUGUGUUCCGAGUUACAACAUCAGUCCUGUGUUGAAAGCAUAUUGACUUUCCUGAUUUCUCAUGACCACAUUUGAGGAAAGGAGUAAGCACUGGAAUCACCAAAACAGCACGCUUACAGGAGGGCAGUCACCAGCUUCAUCAGCCUUCCAAUUCCACGGAGCCCCUUGAAAAUCCAGGGGCGCAGACUGGCAACAGUAGAGAUUUAAUAGGAGUUUACUGGAGGUUAUACUCCAGUCAAAGAAGAUGGAAACCAGGAAAGAACACUUUUUGGAGAUUAGCACUGGCUCCAGGACCCAAUGAACAGAAGACCCAGACUGAAGGCUUGUGCAUUCAGCCCAGAAAAAAUCCACUUAAAUUCAGAACAAUUAAGGACUGUGGGGAAGAAGGACUUCACACAGUAGUGUGAUUGGAAGGCAGAUAAAUUUCAGGACACAAUGAAAGUUCCUAAGAUUUUUUUAUCCUUUUCCGAAUCUAAAACUAGAGGGAAAAUCAUCUAAAACAAGGUAUAAAGAAAUGGCUCACGUGUGACCCUUAUCUUACUGUGACAUGCAGCAUUUGAUGAGGGAUGCGGGAAAAGAGCCUGCUUUACUAUGAAGGGAGUAGCGUUGCCCCGGGAGCACCAUGGCAGAUGCACAGGACACAGAGGGAAGGAAAUGGCAUCCUAGCAUGGCCCUGGCUCUACAUUGAGCAAUGUAGACAAAAAUCAUAAAGACUGCUCUUAGUUUUCUACUUUUAGAAUCAACCUACAGACAUGUAAGACUUAAUUGUAGUUGUAGAAUAAAAGAUAAUAUAUUAUUGGCUUUCAUAACAAUAAAGUCCUAGCAGUGAUUCACAGUUAUUCUGUGAAAAAGGGUAGGGGAAAAGAGGGAGGAUUGUAAGGCAUUUUAUAUGGACCAAGGGAGUCAAAAGACGUUGACAGAAGCCUAUGGAACAACAUACACACAUAAAUAGAAGGAAUAUAUUGCUUCAAAUGACAAAAAUAGCCAACAUAGGCCGGGUAUGGUGGCUCACACCUGUAAUCCCAGCACUUUGGGAGGCUAAGGUGGGUGGAUCACUUGAGGCCAGGAGUUUGCGACCAGCCUGGCCAACAUGGCGAAACCCUGUCUCUACUAAAAAUACAAAAAUUAACUGGGUGCAGUGGGGUGUGUCUGUAGUUCCAGCUCCUCAGGAGGCUGAGGGAGAAGAAUUGCUUGAACCCGGGAGGUGAAAGUUGCAAUGAGCUGGGAUCACACCACUGCAUCCUAGCCUGGGUAACAGAGUGAGACUGCAUCUGGAAAAAAAAAAAAAAAAAAAAAAAAGCCAACAUAGCAAUUUUUAAAAUAAUAUAUAAUUACCAAAAAUUGGGGAAAAUGGAGAAGGGGAAAGGCAGUUCUAUAAGCAAGAUAAACCUUUAUGUUUUGUAUCAGAAGGUCAAUAAAUAUUGUCUGAAUUUGA
Molecule: long non-coding RNA, 2562 nt
Organism: Chlorocebus sabaeus (green monkey)
Lineage: Eukaryota; Metazoa; Chordata; Mammalia; Primates; Cercopithecidae
Source: RefSeq, a predicted model, not a curated record